UACGUAGGGGGCGAGCGUUGUCCGGAAUCAUUGGGCGUAAAGCGCGUGUAGGCGGCUUGGUAAGUCCGGUGUGAAACCUUGGGGCUCAACCCCAAGCCUGCACUGGAUACUGCCUCGCUUGAGUCCGGGAGGGGAGGAGCGGAAUCCUAGUGUAGCGGUGAAAUGCGCAGAUAUUAGGAAGAACACCGGUGGCGAAGGCGGCUCUCUGGGACGGUACUGGACGCUGAGACGCG
This 233-nucleotide ribosomal RNA is filed under the name uncultured bacterium. RNAcentral's name for it is "partial 16S ribosomal RNA". It matches the Rfam family "Bacterial small subunit ribosomal RNA", at positions 524 to 755 of the family's 1533-position model. The record is from RNAcentral.